CGUCGGUCUUCUUCUCAGUCUUUUCGUCUGGUUUUUUAUCGCCGCCGCCAUCUUUCUUAGGCUGAAGAGAGACGAUUUCAAUUUUCUUUUUCGUCUUCUGCUCCAGCUUUGUUUUGAUUACGGCAGGGUCUGCUUUACCGAUAACGGUGAGUUUAUUGGAUGAAGGAUCCGCUUUCACGUCACUCACACCAUCCAAAUGCUUCACAGCUCGUUUCACUUUCUUAGCACAACCGUCGCAAUGCAUAUCGAUCUUAAAAACGGCAGUGACUGCGCCGUCGUCCUUCUUCUGACCGGCAUCGCCGGCCUUCUUCUCUCCGUCAUUCUUAGCACUUUCAACUUUCUCACCCAUCUGUUAUGUUAAG
This 362-nucleotide unclassified non-coding RNA is filed under the name Hevea brasiliensis (rubber tree). Lineage: Eukaryota; Viridiplantae; Streptophyta; Magnoliopsida; Malpighiales; Euphorbiaceae. The record is from RNAcentral.